This 253-nucleotide ribosomal RNA is filed under the name uncultured bacterium. RNAcentral's name for it is "partial 16S ribosomal RNA". It matches the Rfam family "Bacterial small subunit ribosomal RNA", at positions 524 to 776 of the family's 1533-position model. The record is from RNAcentral.
UACAGAGGGGGCAAGCGUUAUUCGGAAUUACUGGGCGUAAAGGGCUCGUAGGCGGCCAACUAAGUCGGACGUGAAAUCCCUCGGCUUAACCGGGGAACUGCGUCCGAUACUGGAUGGCUUGAGUUUGGGAGAGGGAUGCGGAAUUCCAGGUGUAGCGGUGAAAUGCGUAGAUAUCUGGAGGAACACCGGUGGCGAAGGCGGCAUCCUGGACCAACACUGACGCUGAUGAGCGAAAGCCAGGGGAGCAAACGGG